UUUUCCUACGGGACGCAGCAGUGGGGAAUAUUGCACAAUGGGGGAAACCCUGAUGCAGCGACGCCGCGUGAGUGAAGAAGUAAUUCGUUAUGUAAAGCUCUAUCAGCAGGGAAGAAAAUGACGGUACCUGAGUAAGAAGCCCCGGCUAACUACGUGCCAGCAGCCGCGGUAAUACGUAGGGGGCAAGCGUUAUCCGGAUUUACUGGGUGUAAAGGGAGCGUAGACGGCGAUGCAAGUCUGAAGUGAAAGGCGGGGGCCCAACCCCCGGACUGCUUUGGAAACUGUAUGGCUGGAGUGCAGGAGAG
RNAcentral lists this ribosomal RNA (305 nucleotides) under uncultured bacterium. Its description in RNAcentral is "bacterial SSU rRNA". It matches the Rfam family "Bacterial small subunit ribosomal RNA", at positions 334 to 656 of the family's 1533-position model. The record is from RNAcentral.